GUCUUUGUAGUAUAUAAUUACCUUGGUCUUGUAAACCAAAAAUGGAGAAU
Molecule: transfer RNA, 50 nt
Filed under: Spilogale gracilis (western spotted skunk)
Lineage: Eukaryota; Metazoa; Chordata; Mammalia; Carnivora; Mephitidae
Description: partial tRNA-Thr
Source: RNAcentral